Molecule: unclassified non-coding RNA, 1729 nt
Filed under: Hevea brasiliensis (rubber tree)
Lineage: Eukaryota; Viridiplantae; Streptophyta; Magnoliopsida; Malpighiales; Euphorbiaceae
Source: RNAcentral
GAAACGCACAGAUAGAUCUCCACACCCAGACAGGAGAGAGAGUUUUUCAGAUUUGUCGCUUUUUUGCAGUUUCUAAUUUGUGGCUCUUUUUUUUUUAAAUUGUUGGUGUCUGUGAAGGGAAGGAGGACAUGGUGGGCUCAACAAAAGCCACCACUGAUCCUCAUCGUCAACAAUAUCAUCACCAACUGAUGGACGGUGACGCCGAUCAUCAUCAUCAUCUUCACCACGCUUCGGAUGAGGACGACCCUUCUUCUUCUGGGGUUUCGUGCUCGAUUUGCCUUGAUACGAUAUCGGAUAAUGGGGGCAGAUCCAGAGCUAAGCUCCAAUGCGGCCAUGAAUUCCAUCUGGAUUGCAUUGGUUCGGCAUUCAAUAUGAAAGGAGCAAUGCAAUGCCCAAAUUGCAGAAAAGUUGAAAAAGGCCAAUGGCUCUAUGCUAAUGACUCUACUCGUACCUUACAUGAGAUGAGCAUGGAUGACUGGAUCCCUGAUGAGGACUUCUAUGAUCUAAGUUAUUCUGAAAUGGUAGAAUGCAGUUGCUUUUUGUUUGUCUCCAGUAUUUUGCAGUGAAUUAUUUAAAUAACACAUAAUUUAGCAUGUGCAAUUUAGUACAGGCAUGUGGUGAACUUAGCUACAGCCUUAUGUUCUAAUGGCAGUUGUGCAUAGCUGCGGUUGAAAUGCUAACUUCUAUUUUUUAUGAGUCUGGAUAUGAAUGAUAUUCUUAUAUCCAUUGUUCUCAUUUAAAGCUUAAUGCAUCUUUGCAUUUUUUUCAAUAAGAAAAGUUUCCAUACUUUUAGAAAUUAACCUUUGUUGGCAUCAAGUUUUCUAAGAACCAUGGUGCUGUUGUAGACUGUAAAUAUCUAAGCCAUGAUAGCAGAGAGAAGGGUGGGGGGUGUUGCGGGGGGAGGAUCCAUCUCCUCUGUGGAACUCAUAAGUGGGCUUUUAGAGCUGCUUUGCUUUUCUUCACUUUCUUUAGUGUAUGUCCAAGAAGCUUAUCAAUGUUCUACUUUUUAGUGUAUUGUUUCUUACAGUUCAUUUAUAGCAGUAAUUGAAUCAGGUUAGUCAUCAGGUAUUAACAAAAAAACACACAUUUGAUUUUGACUUUGUUUGAUGGUGGUUGUGGUAAGUACAAUUUGUGAACUUCCAUUGACCUGUACAUUAAUGGGAUACUAUUCACCAUGCUAUGCUUGUAAAUAAUCUUACGUCAAUCAGUUAAUAGUUAAAGCAUUUUCACCAAUUUUUUUAAUUAUGUUGUACCUUUUAAUUUUAGGAUAAUAACAUGGUUUUCAAUUUAGCAAAUUUGCAUUGGAGAUGGCUGUUUUUGUUGGAGCCAAUACCAUGCUGAGUUUAGUACUAAUGGUUCAAAAGGUAGAAACCAGGUGUUUAGCUAGAAGGCCUUGUGAUUGUAAUGAAUUUUGAAUUUUGCAUAAUUUCUCAAUAUUUGGUGGCCUGCCUGAGUAAUCAAUAUUUAGGCAAUGACUUCCUUAACUACUUACAGACAUUAUUCCAAAAUUUUGCAAUGUUGGCCUUUAGAUUAGAUCUUGCAUACAUAGAAUGUCAUUUGGAGUCUCUACUCCAUUACAAAACAUGACGUUAUACCUUAGAUCCCUGGUGAGUAUAAAUCAAAUAGUUUCAGUUAGGCUGAUUCAUGUGUUCCUCUAAAGUGAAGCAAAACCUUAUUUUAAAGCUGGAUGGGGCCUAAAGUGCUGUCAGUGCUCCUGUUGAACUCAGAA